UUGCCUCAGUAACGGCGAGUGAAGCGGCAAUAGCUCAAAUUUGAAAUCUGGCUUUUUCAGAGUCCGAGUUGUAAUUUGUAGAGGAUGCUUCGGCUUACGUCUCGGUCUAAGUUCCUUGGAACAGGACGUCACAGAGGGUGAGAAUCCCGUUUGUGGCCGCGACUUCCGCCAUGUGAAGCUCCUUCGACGAGUCGAGUUGUUUGGGAAUGCAGCUCUAAAUGGGAGGUAUAUUUCUUCUAAAGCUAAAUACCGGCCAGAGACCGAUAGCGCACAAGUAGAGUGAUCGAAAGAUGAAAAGCACUUUGGAAAGAGAGUUAAAAAGUACGUGAAAUUGUUGAAAGGGAAGCGCUUGCGACCAGACUUGCCCGCGGAUGCUCAACCGGUCCUUCGGCCGGUGCACUCUUCCGCGGUCAGGCCAGCAUCAGUUCGAGCGGUCGGAUAAAGGCCUUGGGAAUGUGGCUCUCUUCGGGGAGUGUUAUAGCCCUUGGUGUAAUACGGCCCGCUUGGACUGAGGCCCGCGCUUCGGCUAGGAUGCUGGCGUAAUGGUCGUAAGCGGCCCGUCUUGAAACACGGACCAAGGAGUCUAACAUCUAUGCGAGUGUUUGGGUGUCAAACCCGUGCGCGAAAUGAAAGUGAACGGAGGUGGGAACCCUUUGGGUGCACCAUCGACCGAUCCUGAUGUCUUCGGAUGGAUUUGAGUAAGAGCAUAGCUGUUGGGACCCGAAAGAUGGUGAACUAUGCCUGAAUAGGGUGAAGCCAGAGGAAACUCUGGUGGAGGCUCGCAGCGGUUCUGACGUGCAAAUCGAUCGUCAAAUUUGGGUAUAGGGGCGAAAGACUAAUCGAACCAUCUAGUAGCUGG
Molecule: ribosomal RNA, 859 nt
Filed under: Helicomyces colligatus
Lineage: Eukaryota; Fungi; Ascomycota; Dothideomycetes; Tubeufiales; Tubeufiaceae
Description: LSU rRNA
Rfam family: Eukaryotic large subunit ribosomal RNA
Source: RNAcentral